This is a long non-coding RNA of Aedes aegypti (yellow fever mosquito), 652 nucleotides long. RefSeq lists it as uncharacterized. The record is from RefSeq and is a predicted model, not a curated record. NCBI's taxonomy places the organism in Eukaryota, Metazoa, Arthropoda, Insecta, Diptera, Culicidae. The transcript is spliced from 2 exons.
AAUUUUAUCACCCUCUCUAGACAGUGAUAACUGGUGGAGGUAAUCAUACCAUCAUUGACCAGUGAUUGUCGUGAAUGGCCAAGCCCGACAGUCACUUACUGACAUUGAAACAAGCCAGACCGAACGUAAGUUUGCGACGUAAAGGUAAACAUCGAUAAAAUAAACAUUACAUUUUACGAGGGACAGCAUUCGGCCCAUCUCAAAUUGUGCAAACCUCAAAUCGCUAGAACGGGGUGAAAUCACUGACUGUUACGAAAGAGAGAUUUAGUUUUCAGUGGAAAUGGGAAGCAAACUGUCUCGACAAGAGACGCCUUGUCUCAAAUCAGAAAAUGUUAUCAGCCCACAAACGGAAUCGGAGCCAAAAUUGGAUCAAAGGCAGGAAGUCGUUGAGGAAGUUGUACAAGUGAAACAGGUUUCACAAGCGUUCAACGUAAUAUCGGCCCCAACGAUCUGUCCACCGGGUUAUCAGAGGGAUCACAAAGGGCAGUGUCGUAAAAUAGCGAACUUUUGAUGAUACCUGCAUCUUUAUCACAAUUGGUAUGCCAUUAGAUAAGAAGCUCUCUUACGAUAAUUUAUAUGUCGAUCAAUAAAAUCACAAUACUAGAUUUAUAAUUUCAUCAAUUGAACAAUAAACCAGUGAAGCUUUAACGAA